RNAcentral lists this unclassified non-coding RNA (374 nucleotides) under soil metagenome. Its description in RNAcentral is "partial contains internal transcribed spacer 2 and large subunit ribosomal RNA". The stretch from base 1 to 120 matches the Rfam family "5.8S ribosomal RNA", at positions 35 to 154 of the family's 154-position model. The record is from RNAcentral.
GAUGAAGAACGCAGCGAAAUGCGAUAAUUAAUGUGAAUUACAGAAUUCCGUGAAUCAUCGAGUCUUUGAACGCACAUUGCGCCUCAUGGCAUUCCGUGAGGCAUGCCCAUCUCAGCGUUAGAAAAUAUUCUCAAAUUUUAGUUUUGUGCUAAAAUUUGGAUCAUGUCAAGGAAGCUAUUACUAUUAUUGUGAUCGCUCUUUGGAAAUUGAUAGGUCUUUGAGUUGCUACUCAUAGAACGUGAUGAAUCUUUCUUCGUUCUAUUGUAAUGCACUCUGGUAGUCCUAAAACUUGUAUGCCUGUGGCAUAUCUUGUAAUUUGACCUGAGAUUGGGUAGGGAUACCCGCUGAACUUAAGCAUAUCAAUAAGCGGAGGA